Molecule: long non-coding RNA, 1820 nt
Organism: Acanthopagrus latus (yellowfin seabream)
Lineage: Eukaryota; Metazoa; Chordata; Actinopteri; Spariformes; Sparidae
Exons: 3
Source: RefSeq, a predicted model, not a curated record
UUUCAACCUCUUCUCCUUCGUAGUUUGACCUGCAGACAUCAUUCCAACGUUCAACAAGUAACAAGACUAAAAUAUGUUUGUGCAAGUGUGCACACAUGACCACACAUGUACGCACAGCAAAAAUGAAUCAAUAAGCAAGAACUAACACAUACAGUAUAUUUCCCAACAUUUAAACUACAUUUAACUUCAUCCGCUCACUAUCAAACAGUUCAGCCAUGCAAAGCAGCCAAGAGCGUCAAAACCCUCGAGAAAUGACUUGUUCUACUGUCAGAAUUUGAGCCAUUAGGUCCAAUAAAAUUGUGAAAUUCUAGAAGAACUGCAUGAUUAAAUUAUUCAUUCAUGUUAGCUGGGCGCUAAACCGUAAGUUAUACAGCUCGGUCGAUAGAAGUUUAUAGUGCGCAUGCUCAAUCGGCCCCACGAUGCAGGAUAUCCAGGUAUUUUUAUCUCGCCAUUUUGUCUUCAUUCCUUCCACGUGAAGUUGUGUUGUUGAAACUUAAACUAGUGAAAAUGGAGAAAUGAAAAAAAAAGAAAUGGGUGGUGCUGAAGAACUGAGAAUUGAACGGUCGGCACAAGAUGAAGCCAAAUGAGCGAUGACCGACCGACCGACCGACCGACCGUCUCCUCGGUGGAGGAGGAGGAGACCAGUGGACCGCUCCGACGCCUGCUGGUGAUGUGAGAUUUACACUUGUGGAGAAAGUUUCAAGUUAAAACCCACCAGAGGACUGUGAGCACCUCCAUCAGCAGCCAGCGUCGUGGGGUUGGCGUGGUUUGUCAGUUUUUCUCCACCUCCUCGGUGGAGGUGGAAAAAUGAUGCAGCCGUCGGUGACUCGGCGGAGCGCACUUCUUCCAGAUGCCGAGUCCCGCUGACGCACGGAGGGUCAUCGCGUUUCACUGACGGAUGAUUCGUCAGUGAGGUCGCAGGUCACGGAGCUGGAGCUGUGGUUGGAGGGGAGGUCGGGCCGGAUCGGGGUCAAGCCUUUGGCUGCUGACACCAGUUUCCUGGCCGUACAGAGGGAUUACAGUGACAACAUGAAGAGAGGAGUGAGGUCAUUGUGAGCUCUGCAGAUGUGAUGUGUGCAUCUGCUGCACUGUUAUAUAGCAGGAGACAUUAUGUUCAGCAGCAGAUUAGCGUCUGAUUUCAUGCUCGACUUGUUUAUAUUAGAUCAUGUAGAUUUAGUCUUUUUCAGUAGAUGUGUAAAAGUAUUAAUUCUGGUAAAUGACAUCUGCAUCAAAAAGUUCAAAUCUUUAUAUUGUAGUUAAGAUGCUGCUGUUUGCCAAAAAUGGUGAAUAAAUCUGCUUGACUUUUUAGGUAAAAAAGGUCAGACCUGAUUUCACUUCAUGUGUGAAACCAAGUGAAAAAACAACAUACGGACCUUCAGAUCAGAUCAGUGCAUCACCCUAAAAACCACAUUCUCACUUGUCCUUCAGGGCUUCUGUAGUUUAAAUUUCAUCCACUACAUGUUUUAUUGAUAUAUUGAUUCUGCAGCCACGUCACCACUUUCUCAGUGGACACAUUAUGCAAACGAUCCAGCGUGUAGAAAGAAAGGCCUUGCACACUAAACGCUGUAUUUAUUGCGGACGUCAGUGUGAGUUAUUGCUUUAUUUGUUUCCCCGCUCCUCCGUCUUGUCUGGGCCAAAGUUCAGCCUCCACCUCUGCUUCUUCUGCCUCUCCUCCCGCCGCUAACGUUGCUAAUUGCUGCCCUCUGCUGUCUCGCAGCCACCCUCUGAUCUCUGCACCACAUCGACACACACAACCUGUUGAAACACUCAAAACUCAAAGUGGCGUCUUUUCUGACGCAAACGCACAUUUUUUGAUGCCU